CCUACGGGAGGCUGCAGUGGGGAAUAUUGCACAAUGGGCGCAAGCCUGAUGCAGCCAUGCCGCGUGUGUGAAGAAGGCCUUCGGGUUGUAAAGCACUUUCAGCGGGGAGGAAGGCGUUAAGGUUAAUAACCUUGGCGAUUGACGUUACCCGCAGAAGAAGCACCGGCUAACUCCGUGCCAGCAGCCGCGGUAAUACGGAGGGUGCAAGCGUUAAUCGGAAUUACUGGGCGUAAAGCGCACGCAGGCGGUCUGUCAAGUCGGAUGUGAAAUCCCCGGGCUCAACCUGGGAACUGUAUUCGAAACUGGCAGGCUAGAGUCUUGUAGAGGGGGGUAGAAUUCCAGGUGUAGCGGUGAAAUGCGUAGAGAUCUGGAGGAAUACCGGUGGCGAAGGCGGCCCCCUGGACAAAGACUGACGCUCAGGUGCGAAAGCGUGGGGAGCAAACAGGAUUAGAUACCCUAGUAGUC
Molecule: ribosomal RNA, 465 nt
Filed under: uncultured Klebsiella sp.
Lineage: Bacteria; Pseudomonadati; Pseudomonadota; Gammaproteobacteria; Enterobacterales; Enterobacteriaceae
Description: bacterial SSU rRNA
Rfam family: Bacterial small subunit ribosomal RNA
Source: RNAcentral